RNAcentral lists this ribosomal RNA (600 nucleotides) under uncultured bacterium. RNAcentral describes it as "bacterial SSU rRNA". It matches the Rfam family "Bacterial small subunit ribosomal RNA", at positions 338 to 956 of the family's 1533-position model. The record is from RNAcentral.
CCUACGGGAGGCAGCAGUGGGGAAUAUUGCACAAUGGGCGAAAGCCUGAUGCAGCGACGCCGCGUGAGGGAUGACGGCCUUCGGGUUGUAAACCUCUUUCAGCAGGGAAGAAGCGAGAGUGACGGUACCUGCAGAAGAAGCGCCGGCUAACUACGUGCCAGCAGCCGCGGUAAUACGUAGGGCGCAAGCGUUGUCCGGAAUUAUUGGGCGUAAAGAGCUCGUAGGCGGCUUGUUGCGUCGGUUGUGAAAGCCCGGGGCUUAACCCCGGGUCUGCAGUCGAUACGGGCAGGCUAGAGUGUGGUAGGGGAGAUCGGAAUUCCUGGUGUAGCGGUGAAAUGCGCAGAUAUCAGGAGGAACACCGGUGGCGAAGGCGGAUCUCUGGGCCAUUACUGACGCUGAGGAGCGAAAGCGUGGGGAGCGAACAGGAUUAGAUACCUGGUAGUCCACGCCGUAAACGUUGGGAACUAGGUGUUGGCGACAUUCCACGUCGUCGGUGCCGCAGCUAACGCAUUAAGUUCCCGCCUGGGGAGUACGGCCGCAAGGCUAAAACUCAAAGGAAUUGACGGCUUGAGACGUUGCGAGGCGACGACGAGGGAGAGG